RNAcentral lists this transfer RNA (73 nucleotides) under Gadus morhua (Atlantic cod). RNAcentral's name for it is "tRNA-Arg (TCT) (tRNA-Arg-TCT-15-1)". It matches the Rfam family "tRNA". From Rfam's summary of the family: Transfer RNA (tRNA) molecules are approximately 80 nucleotides in length. Their secondary structure includes four short double-helical elements and three loops (D, anti-codon, and T loops). Further hydrogen bonds mediate the characteristic L-shaped molecular structure. tRNAs have two regions of fundamental functional importance: the anti-codon, which is responsible for specific mRNA codon recognition, and the 3' end, to which the tRNAs corresponding amino acid is attached (by aminoacyl-tRNA synthetases). tRNAs cope with the degeneracy of the genetic code in two manners: having more than one tRNA (with a specific anti-codon) for a particular amino acid; and 'wobble' base-pairing, i.e. permitting non-standard base-pairing at the 3rd anti-codon position. Lineage: Eukaryota; Metazoa; Chordata; Actinopteri; Gadiformes; Gadidae. The record is from RNAcentral.
GGCUCUGUGGCACAAUGGAUAGCGUGUAGGACUUCUAAUUCAAAGGUUGUGGGUUCGAGUCCCACCAGAGUCG